AGUAAAAAUCUAUAUUAUAAUAGGAGAGUUUUCGAUAGCUGGUAAGCCUGUCCACGUAGACAUAUCCUUAAAGUUUGUGGGUCCCAUUUAUUGUCCGGUUUUAUUUGGUCGUAUGGUUUGUAGUUUGGUCCGGUUUAGUUUGUAGGUAAUAUGAUUGUAGUUUGGUCUGAUUUGUGUCUUCAGCGUUUUGUUUCAUAAAUGCUUGCCUUUUGUGCUUCAUACAUCCGAUUAGGGCUUCAUCGUUGUCUUCCUUCCUUACAGAACUCAAUCCACCGUAUCCACGUAUAUGAUAGCUUCUCCCUAAAACAUUAUAUAUCUCACACGGUAGCUACGUUCAUGUAAGCCAAUCUUCCCUUGAAAGUUUGUAAUGUUUCUUCGAGUUUCAUCUGCGGUGACAAUAAAAAAUUUUGGGUUCAUCUUUUGGACAAUCGAUUUCAUCUUCUAAGAAACGUAUAUCAUAGAUUGGUAAUUUUUAUUCCAUAAGCUGUCAGAUUGAUGAUGUAUACAUUCAACAUCCGUAUGUUUGGGUUUGAAUAAUUGUCCGUCAAAAAAGUUGGUGAUUUUAAUUGUUGCUUUCAAUCUCACAUCAAAGAUUCUAAAUUUUGAUGUCACUAUGGUUUCCGCCGCAAAAGCCCCCUGCGUGCUGAACCGCUUCUCCCUCUCCUGUCACCACGAAGAUAAGUGAAUGACGACAAGAACGAAAGGAUAAAGUGGGAAUAUAGGACAUGAGAAGCACUGGUAUCGUUAACAGCUUUAGUUAGUGCGAAGAGAAAAGCUAAACAACUAAUCAUUUGUUAGAUUUGGGAUAGUUUAAUGUUUUACCAUCAUGUCUCUUGGUAAUGUGAAGUUAUGAAUCAGCUGUUUCAAGAAAAGUGACGUUCCAGAGUUACAUUUGUACCGGUGUUUGGCCAGCGUGUAAUACUAAUAUGCAUCCCAAUGGAUAGCUUAACAGUAACUUUAUGAUCACAUGGUUUGACCCUCUUGCACUAUAUCUCUCUUUCGCCCCAUUCACUAGCACAAAUCUCUCUGAUCUCAUAUAAUUUUGUUGUUAUUUGUAGAACCAUUUUAACGAUCAAAGCUCAUUGCUGUGUUCACGAAAUUUAAGCAGGUCUCUUGAUGGAAGCUUGACCGAUAGGUGAGUGUCCAUGCAGAUUUGACUCGAUGUUGUCUUUGAUAAUGAAAGAAUGAAGAACAAUAUCUUAUGAAGAUCACUAGGACCGCCAUAAGAAACCAGGACAAGCCGAAGUAAUCCUCUGCAGUCCAUGGCAAACCAAGCAUCUACAUCAAUCGGUGUCAGUUUACAGCACAAAGAUGCUUAGUGUUAUACGUUUCUCAGCUCACUCCAGGACUUAAUUGGAGCGGGCGAUGGAGAGAAUUAGGAGGAGAUUUUGUUUCUUGGUUUUGGUUUCUGGUCAGAGAAGCGAAGAUCAUUCUUAUUCAGGUCAUUUCUUGCUUUUAAAUGUUUCUCAGAUUUUGUUUCUGUAUCUGGUAUAGUGUUUCGAUUUAGAUUGUCAGCACUUGCCUUAAUUAAGUAUUGACAUGAUGCUCUAUCCACAGUCUGGAGUCAAGUAGAGUCAUGUUCUAUAGCGACUUAUGUUGUCCUCAUCUGAUUAUUGGAGUAUUACAAAAUGAUUACCAUACAAAAUGAAAGUAUCUCCAAUCAUUUGUCUUUUGCAUCCAUGAAUACACAAACUUUUUGAUGGAUAUUACUUCUGUCAAGUACAAAGAGAAGACUACUUUCAUCGAGCCAAGCCUUACAAGGACCAUCCUACCAUUGCAUGGUGAUCUUUUUCAUCUUGAUCUCUCUUUGGUACUUCAAUAGUUGUUUUUGUACGUUCGUCAACAUGAUGAGAUGUCAUUUCGACAUGUAGCUGUUAUAUAGUUGUGCUUCAAUGGUUUGAUAUGGGUUUCUAACACAUGAUGCAGAAGCUGAAAAUGGAUUUUAGUGUAGUAAUACCGGUUAUCUUCCUUGAGGAGGCAAAUAAUGCACAUUACAACUCAAUUGACCUCAGGGCUUAUAGGAAGUCACAUAUUCAUGAUGGAGCAGCAGGUGAGUCAAGUUUGGAGUUGGAAAGAGGUUGACCUUCUUUUGCUGAUACCUAUUGUUUACUUCAAGUUAUCAAGAGAAAUUUCAUUUCAAUCCUGGUGACACUGGCUUUAAUGUAGUCUUGAGCGGCAGGAUCCCCAAACUAAAGUUUGCAAAAAUUGAAGAGUGUCUUAUUCAGCUAUACGUUGGGAUCAAUGGUUACCGAGGCAACUCGAGGUAUGAUUCUUCAAGGUGUUGAACUGUUUUAUACCACUGCCACUGGCUCUGGACCUCAAGACCAUGGAUUAGAUUCGGGUGAUCACUAGAGGAGAGUCAUGCAAGGCCACGCUGGAGCUAAUAUUAUGAGCUAUUAGGCCAAGGUAAAACCUACACUUUUAUUUAUGCAAGAAUUAAGGUUGGUAGAAGGGAUUGUCAGACAGAAUUUCCUAAGUUGUUGGUUAGGUGAAUUUGGUUGCUAGACUAGGAUAUGGUAUAGUGUGCUUCUGAGAUUAGAAUUUUCUAAGAUGAUGAUUCUGAUUUUUAAAUUUGUGAGUCCCUGCUAUUUUCAAAUCUCUUUCAGAGAGACUGCCUGUAUAUUUUGUUUGAGGACAAGCAAAAGGGUAAAUCUGGGGGAGUUGAUAGGCCAUGGAUUUUUAUCCACUUUUAGCCAUGGUUUAUAAGUGUUUUAAAAACUAAUUAUUAUGUUUUAGAGUCUAUUUAGUAUAUUUAUAGGAUCAUGAGUGAUUUGGAAGAAAGUGAUGAUUUUGGAGUAUUUUGGAGAUAAUUGGAGAGAGCAUCCGAGGUGACCAUCAAGCAAGACCAAUGGUCGACAUUCAGAGACAAUAAUCGAUCGAUGCACAUCUUGUGACAUUGAUCGACAGCGAAGCGCGCAGAAGCCCGUUUGGUUCCAGCCGACUUAUAGCCCAAGACUUCACCAAUUUACAUGAUUAUCCCUGACGAGUUUUAACCUAAUAUUUAUAGCUUGCCAAAGUGUUAGAGGCAAAGUGUGCUUUCUUGUUUUCUUAUUUUCACAGCAAAAGGUUUUCUAGGAUUUUAGCAGAGUUGGAGAAAAGAUCCAAAGAGAUUUGUGAUAGAAACUCCAUUAUUAUCUAUCUAUCUAUGCAGUUUUUAUACUUUAUUGUUGUUAUGAAUUGCUUACCUAUGUCUGAGUAGUUAUAUUGUUAGGUUUAGGGUUUAAAUAGGUUAUGAGGGAUUAGCCCCAACUAUAGAUUGCUAAGUUAGGAUAUUCAUCCUUAGAACUGUCAUUAAUGCAUGUUUUUAGUUUAGCUAGCUAGAACCUUGACCUAGGAGUUUAGGCACAAGUUAACACUUGAAUCUCACCAUGAAUCCGUCCUAAUUGAGCUAGGAUUGUUAGAGUAAGGCGAAGGCUGAUCUAGUAAGCCUAGUGAGCAUUAUUCAACCUGCGCGUAAAGCUUGACUAAGAACAUGUCGAUCGAUAUUCCUAUAAAAUAAUCGAUCGACGGUGCAAAAGGUGUAUCGAUUGAUAUUCCUCUAGAAUCAUCGAUCGACACUUAUAUCUGGUCAAUAGACAAACCUAGAAAGCGAACGCCGAUCGGUUUGUUCAUAAGUGUUUGAGCUCUAUUAUAUCAUGCAUAAAACUGUUAGGCAUCUGUAGGAUUAUAAUCCUGAUUACCUGAAUAGAAAUCCUAAGUCUAACUAUUUCAUUUAAGUGCCAAAAACUCAAUCAAGCCAAUCGAGCAACUGCCUUGCUCACAACAUGUUAUUUACAUUUAAACAUAAAUAACCUAGGUUAAUCAUUCUGAUUAGAUUUAUUUGGUUCCCUAGCUCCUUGUGGAUUCAAUCCUUGAGUAUUACAAUUGAACAUCUUAUUUGAGAGAGUAAUUCACUCCUUAAGGUAAUUGGAGUGAGAUCUUUCCGCGCUUAUAAGUAUUAAAAUCUAAUAAAAGUAAAAAUAUAUAUACUAUACUAAAAGGGAGAUAACUAGAGCGGGGAGAGUGUCCACCUCAGAUUAAAAAAUCAACCAAUCAGGGAAAUCCUUUAUGCCAUGUCAUUAGUUAUUGUCGAAAAUAAAGAUAAAAGGAAGCUUCGAUCAACCGCCUCUGCUUCUCUCACUUCGUCUUCUCGGUUACAUCUUCAUGAAAUCUACGUUAUAGCUACCAAUAUUAUCAAUAAAUUGUGUUCUUCAAGCUCCUCUUUACGAAUUCAUUUCUUAUCCUUUGUUUUUCCUUCUUUAUAAACCCUUCGCCUAGAUUUAAUCCAGUCAAAAACGAAAACCUCCACUAAAGAAGUUGAAGCUAUGGCGAUGAAACCCAAUGGAUAGUAAUCCACUAGAAAGUCUCCCGUCACCACCGGAAAGUCUCCCGUGCAGUAUGCUGUUAAAUUGUUUUGGCCGUGUGGCGAUUCUGAUUUUUAGGAACGAACGAACACACAUGAAUUUCAUAUGUUCAUGUCUUCCCUUCUUCAGGUUCAUUCCUUUAUUCAUAUAAUGGUUUCAUGGCCAAGCGUUAACCAUUCGAAAUAUUUGUCAUUCAGCUAUUUGAUCUGGUAUAUGGAGAAUUUUCAAGAUUUCUAUUCGGUUUGCUCUGGGUGAGAACAAAUCGUAAAAAGAUGCAGCCACAACAGGAAUAAAAAACACUAUGAAAAAAUUAUUACAAAGCAAAACGGUAAGAUUAUUACAGAGCAAAAAGAGUCCUUAAUCUUUGUUCCAAGAAUUUUGUUGUACCUGAUUUUGAAUGGUUUUGAUUGUCUUUAUGUAAGGAUCAAGCAUCUUCGCACAUGGUGUUCAAGAGAUCAUACAGAUGGACCUGAAGACAAGUAAGAUGAUCUUACCUGAUAAACACAUGCGGGCGAUUUCAGUUUGUCUAAAUUGGCAGUUGACAGAGCCUUUCAUGUCUCCGGCAUAUUGUCCAUGGCACAGUUGGAUAUCUGGAGCCCAAGUAUAUAACUCUGGAGUCCUUUUUCGUGGGUCAAACUGUGGAGUCCUUCUUGAGCUUAUGUCAGGCGUAGGCGUAGAAGCCAUAUCGAAUGAACACUUCCGAGUUCAUUAUACAAGGUAUAUUACUAAUCUGAGCUUUUUUAUUUUUUAAUGAACAGGCGUACAAAACAAAGAAAUGUUGCUAAGUGUCGGUCAGGAAAUGGCACUUCUGAGCUGUAGAGUUUGGUUAAAACGUUUUUCAGCAAUAUGCACCAAACUGUGAUCGAGAAUCGUGGAUUAAGGUUCUCGACUUUGUUAGCAGGAUUUUCCAUGGAAGUGUAGUUUUUUUUGUUGCUAACAUCGAUAGAAGUGUAGUUUUGAGAGGUACGAAGCUGUUAUGUAAUUGUGAGGAUUCUUGAGAAGAUUUGCGGUGGGUUAGCAGAAACAACAGCUGGCAAAUUAAUAGUAAUGUUUUCCAAGGUAAAAUACUGAUUGAAAGUGUACGGUUCUUUUGUUUAUUUAUGAGUGAAUAAUACUAUUGUCUGUUUAGUUUAACCCUUUCCAUUACCAUGUUUCUAAAGUGAUCGACUUAGACGCUGCGAAGAGUUUUGAAAAUGGAGAAGGUGUGCGUCUGAUAGCACCUCAGGAUGCCUGCAAGCUGCAACCAUUCAGCCAAGUAUAUUCGCACGGAAAUAUAGAUUGAUGGCGCGGACGGGUAAACACUCGAAUCUAGGAAAUAGUUGGCUCUGGAUGAAUCCAUUGAGAAGUUGCGACACAACGUCAAAGUCUUUCUCGACCGCCAGUGUCACGAUCUUGGGGGAGAAGAAGGCACAGUCUACGUGGUUAUCAGGUUUGAGAGAAUCGGAUGUGAAUAUUACUCUGUCUGUUUAGUCUAACCUUUUUCAUCACCAUGUUUCUGAAGAGAUCGAGUUAGACGCUGCAAAUAGUUGCAUGUGAGGGUGAGUAAAAUGGAAAGUGUGAGGAUAAGACAAUGAUGUUCAGGAGUUUACACCUGGCUCUCGAGACUUCACAAUAGAGAGCUUGAAGACAAAGCCAAAGAAGUACCAGAGCUGAAAACAGAGAGACAUAAGAAAAAACUUAAUAUAGACGAGGUCGAGGGUAUCGCGAGGCUGAAUCUAGCAGAGGCAGCCAUGUUAUAGCUUAAAGCUAACAAAGCAUAACGGGAGUCUGAGAGGUUGUAAAGAUUGUACUACGAAAACGGAAAAGUUUGAGGAGGAAUACGCAAGUAACUUCUGAACAGAGGUUGGCCAAGGCUGAGGCAGAGAAGCAAUAUAUGUUUGAGAAGAUUAACCUGACGGAAAAUUCAAGCUCGCAUCACAAAGUAGUGGUGGUGGAGGAGACCCGUCACAUGUGUGAUGUACUCAAAGAUCUGUGAUCUACUUCAUGGUAACAAUCUCACGCCUAAGGUAGAUCCUCAAUCAAAAGAGCACCAUCCUUUCAUAUCCAAACAUUGACGCUUCUUCCCUUCUAAGUUUGUUAAUUUUGUGUAAACAAGAUCUUUUAAUAAACAAGAGUGUAGAUAUGUGGAAUCUUUCUCAGGCCAAGAAGCUUUGCUUAAUUUGGAGAGUCAUGGUUUAUUUUAUAUGAUAUAU
Long non-coding RNA from Brassica napus (rape), 6535 nucleotides. RefSeq lists it as uncharacterized. Lineage: Eukaryota; Viridiplantae; Streptophyta; Magnoliopsida; Brassicales; Brassicaceae. The transcript is spliced from 5 exons. The record is from RefSeq and is a predicted model, not a curated record.